GACGAACGCUGGCGGCGUGCUUAACACAUGCAAGUCGAACGGAAAGGCCCUAGCUUGCUGGGGUACUCGAGUGGCGAACGGGUGAGUAACACGUGGGUGAUCUGCCCUGCACUCUGGGAUAAGCCUGGGAAACUGGGUCUAAUACCGGAUAGGACCGUGCUUUAGUGUGUGCGGUGGAAAGUUUUUCGGUGCAGGAUGAGCCCGCGGCCUAUCAGCUUGUUGGUGGGGUAAUGGCCUACCAAGGCGGCGACGGGUAGCCGGCCUGAGAGGGUGUACGGCCACAUUGGGACUGAGACACGGCCCAGACUCCUACGGGAGGCAGCAGUGGGGAAUAUUGCACAAUGGGCGCAAGCCUGAUGCAGCGACGCCGCGUGGGGGAUGACGGCCUUCGGGUUGUAAACCCCUUUCGGCAGGGACGAAGCUUUUGUGACGGUACCUGCAUAAGAAGCACCGGCUAACUACGUG
RNAcentral lists this ribosomal RNA (465 nucleotides) under uncultured bacterium. Its description in RNAcentral is "partial 16S ribosomal RNA". It matches the Rfam family "Bacterial small subunit ribosomal RNA", at positions 28 to 507 of the family's 1533-position model. The record is from RNAcentral.